UUGUCACCCCACACAUCCAGAGGUGCCCACGAGUGUAUUUGGGGAGAGGCUUUGAGAACAAGUUGAAGAGCGACUGUCCUUCUAUGAGACUGGAGAGAUACCAUGAAAGAAUCUGGAUGUCAUGAAGGAAGAAAUGGUUCAGGCAGAGGAAGCGGCUGCUGAGAUUACUAGGAAGCUGGAGAAACAGGAGAAGAAAUGCUUAAAGAAGGAAAAGAAACAGCUGGUUGCACUUGCCCUCACAUCUUCAGAAAACAGCAGUAGUACUCCAGAGGAGUGUGAGGAGACGAGUGAAAAACCCAAAAAGAAGAAAAAGUAGAAGCCCCAGGAGGUUCCUCAUGAGAAUGGAAUGGAAGACCCAUCUAUCUCUUUCUCCAAACCCAAGAAAAAGAAAUCUUUUUCCAAGGAGGAGUUGAUGAGUAGUGAUCUUGAAGAGACCGCUGGCAGCACCAGUCUUCCCAAGAGGAAGAAGUCUUCACCCAAGGAGGAAACAGUUAAUGACCCCGAAGAGGCAGGCCACAGAAGUGGCUCCAAGAAAAAGAGGAAAUUCUCCAGAGAGGAGCCAGUCAGCAGUGGGCCUGAAGAGGCAGCUGGCAAGAGCAGCUCCAAGAAGAAGAAAAAGUUCCAUAAAGCAUCCCAGGAAGAUUAGAAUGCAAACGGACAUUCUCUGGGAGGUGGGGCAUACGAUAGCCCAAGGUGACAUCUCCCAACCUGUGCCCUGUUCCCCAAUAAAAACAAAUUCACA
Mandrillus leucophaeus (drill) is the source of this 742-nucleotide RNA transcript. It is a transcript of the gene named nucleolar protein 56-like, with no coding region annotated. The record is from RefSeq and is a predicted model, not a curated record. NCBI's taxonomy places the organism in Eukaryota, Metazoa, Chordata, Mammalia, Primates, Cercopithecidae. The transcript is spliced from 3 exons.